This 135-nucleotide microRNA precursor is filed under the name Podarcis lilfordi (Lilford's wall lizard). The record is from RNAcentral. Lineage: Eukaryota; Metazoa; Chordata; Lepidosauria; Squamata; Lacertidae.
UGUCCAGUAGCACCUUAGAGACCAACUAAGUUUGUUCUGGGUAUAAGCUUUCGUGUGGUGUCUGAAGAAGUGUGCAUGCACACGAAAGCUUAUAUCCAGAACAAACUUAGUUGGUCUCUAAGGUGCUACUGGACA